GGUCCUGUGACCGAGCGGCCAGGUACUCGACUGCAACUCGAGCGACUCGGGUUCGAAUCCCGACGGGACCU
RNAcentral lists this transfer RNA (71 nucleotides) under Nannocystis radixulma. RNAcentral describes it as "tRNA-Cys". It matches the Rfam family "tRNA". Rfam says of the family: Transfer RNA (tRNA) molecules are approximately 80 nucleotides in length. Their secondary structure includes four short double-helical elements and three loops (D, anti-codon, and T loops). Further hydrogen bonds mediate the characteristic L-shaped molecular structure. tRNAs have two regions of fundamental functional importance: the anti-codon, which is responsible for specific mRNA codon recognition, and the 3' end, to which the tRNAs corresponding amino acid is attached (by aminoacyl-tRNA synthetases). tRNAs cope with the degeneracy of the genetic code in two manners: having more than one tRNA (with a specific anti-codon) for a particular amino acid; and 'wobble' base-pairing, i.e. permitting non-standard base-pairing at the 3rd anti-codon position. The record is from RNAcentral. RNAcentral also lists the same sequence under 1 other name. Lineage: Bacteria; Pseudomonadati; Myxococcota; Nannocystales; Nannocystaceae.